Cuculus canorus (common cuckoo) is the source of this 5743-nucleotide long non-coding RNA. RefSeq lists it as uncharacterized. Lineage: Eukaryota; Metazoa; Chordata; Aves; Cuculiformes; Cuculidae. The transcript has 5 exons. The record is from RefSeq and is a predicted model, not a curated record.
UUGUGCUAUUCAAUUUUCCACCGAAGGAAUGCAGCAAUGUAUCUGAAUUCCUUGUCAUGCUCAGCUACAGUUCUUGGGAUUUAUUUUUCACUUGCUGGACAAGCCAUAUUUGGCUAUAGAUUUCCAAAAUAGCCAAUAUGUAAGUUAUUACACUACCUUUAGUGUAUUGGAGAAUCCCUGGUAAUAAAUAUAGAGUUUAGUAGGGAUUUUUCUGAAGAUUUUUUUCCUAUGUGACCUUUUCUUAAACUCAGGCUCUCUAUUUCCAUCUCUUCCAAAAAAUAAACAUGAUGCAGUGAGCAAGAAUUUGGUACAAAGUAGUUUGACAGCAUUACUAUCCAAGGUACAAGCUAUUUUAAAGAUCUAUUAUUUCAUGUUUCACUACCUCUAUCAUUUUUCCUCUGUGUUGAGCUCCAGGAAUCAGUCCUGGAUACAUCUGAAAAUCACGCACUGGAAAUGUGAUCCAUCUGGUAAAUGAACAAGCAAGAAAUGAGGGAAGCACAGGAAAAUUCACAGAAUAUAUCCACUUUACUGUGUUUUCUGUUACAGCUUUUCUUGCUUCACAUGGAAAAACAAGCACCUAAAGUCAUAUUAUGGAAUAUUGGGAUUUGAGUGUGAACCUCCUGUGUCCUCAUAUGAAUAUUUACACCCUUGUUGCCUGAAGAAAAUGGGAAGCUUCACAGUAGAGUUGGCCCCAGCCCUGCCACACCAUCACUACAACCUUCCAAGAGGGCUGGCAAGCCUCUCCCUUUUAAAUAACAGCCUUGCUGUUCAAAAAUCUCGAACAGGGAUAUCUUUAAAAAAAAAGAAGAAAACAGCUGCUCAAGGAUCUGUAUGUUCUGCGUAGUAUUGAUUAUUUUGAAUUUAGGAACAUCAACACUAAUAUCAUACACAAAAGUAUAUGACACUAUCCUUGGUUUUUGUAUGUUAGCAGGGUAUGAUUUUGUAGUUUGCUUUUCUUAAUUAAGAAUUGGUGUCUCUUGAUAUUUAUUUUUAGCAUGCAGCCCUUCCUAAAAGACAAGACAGACAAGAUGUUGUCAAUAGAGCUGCCAAUGCAAGUCACAUGAUCAAGCAUUCAGAGGUAAAUACUCUCCUUCUGGUUCCAUGAAGAGCUUUUACAUUUCAGCGGUCAUACCAUUGUAAUGAGUGAAACCAACAGACCAUCUGGUCCUCUGUUUGAUCUCUGGUAAUGGCCAGUACCAGAUGCUUCAGAGGACGGAGCAGCAGAAUCCACAGCCGAAUAACCAGCCAACAAGAGAAGGAUUUUUUUUGACCUCCUGUCAAUUAGUGGCUCAUUUAUGCCUUAGGAAGAGAACAUUUUUAUUUCUUGUACUUUUUGUUACCCAAUAAUCUUACCCUUAUAAUUAUUAGAUACAAUUUUGGUCUUGGAUUCUGGAAAUACUGAUGUUGGAAAUAUAUUUCUUAUCCUCAUCCACCUUUCUUCAGAAGUUCGUUACAGCAAUUCUACAGUUGACAAUAGAGAUUAUUUCAGGGUUUUAUGUUUCAUGAUAUAAAGGUAAUUUUUAACACAGCAUAGCUAUAUCAGAUAUGUUAUUAGGAAUGCAAUUAAUUCAUUAGUUGUUCCAGAGGCCAUCCUGUUCUUCAGGUUGGACUUGUUUUACCUUAUUUCAGUGGGAAUUUGAUUUUGCUUUGAUUAGAGUAGAAACUGGAACAAGUCUUAAAUACUGCAGCUGGAUAUACAAGAGGACUCUGGUUGAGUGGGCCUUGCUUUGAUACAGGCCAGACACGAUAAUAUUGAGUCCUAAUUUAUAAUUCAGGAUUAUUGAGUCCAAUUAGUAGCUCAGACCCCAAAAGCUUUGUUGGUCUCAUUUGUGUCUCACUGCAUACUCCUAUAGCCUUUGCCACAACAAAUUGCUACCUUCAUUAGUACCUGUUGGAGGUGUUGCUAUGCAAACUGUUUAAUAACAAUUUCUAUUUUGCAGGUUUUAUACUUAAACAAAUAUCAGCAAGCAUAAAGUGUGUUUAUUCUAGGUUGUUACUUCCAACUAAUAUUUUACAAUGUACUCUUGUUGUCCAGGCAGUGGGAUGUUCUCAGUCAAUAAUGGUUUGUGUAUUUUAACUUGUCGUUUUUAGUUUUUAAUCCUAUCACUUAUCCUUUGUUUUGCCUUUCAUGCCAGAAUGGAGAACCUUUGUGUCUCAUAGAUGGAAUUUGAUGCAUUUAUCGUCCCAGGCCUGAAAGACUAAGCCAGAACUUCAGACCGGAGUCUGUAUUACACAUGUGAUGGGUAGGCAGAGCUGUACAGCUCCAGCUUUCCAGGCUGUAUGUGAAUGAGGUUCAAUGAUCAGAAACAGAAACAAUAGCGCACUGGUUUGGGCUGGAAUAGAGCCGAUUUUCCUUACAGAAGCUCUUACGGUGCUGUGUGUUGGAUUUGCAACAAAAAAACCUGUUGCUGAACAGCGUUUGGAGAGCAUUAAGGCCUUUUCUGCUUCUUGCCCACCCCACCAGCAAGUAGCCUGGGGAUGCCCAAGAAGCUGGAAGAGGACACAGCUGGGGCAACUGACCCCAACUCACCAAAGGAAUAUUCCAUGCUGUAUGACAUUGCGAUCAGCAAAAAGCUGGGGGAAGAAGGGAGGGAGGGGUACUUAUGGGAGUUAUUGAGUCUGUCUUCCCAAGUAAUUGUUAUGUGUAAUGAAAAUGGCUAAACACCUGCCUGCUGUUGGGAAGAGCUGAAUGAAUUCCCUAUUUUACUUUGCUUGAGCAUGUAGCUUCUGCGUUCCCUGAUGAACUGUCUUUAUCUUGACUCGGGGGUCUCUUCCCUUUUGCCCUUCCCACUCCUUUCCCCCAUCCCACCAGAGGAUAGUGAAUGAGUGUCUGUGUGUGGUUUAGCUCCCUCUCAGGGUUAGCCCCCAACAAAUGCUUAAAAGUCAAGUAUUAUUCCCAAAUAAAUAUUGAUUUCCUUAGCUGGUGUUUUAAAAAUGACUUGGACUUUUAACUUCCAGAGGUCUUUCAGAACCUGCUAAUUUCUUAGAUGUUUUGAUCUGCUUUUUCCUGCCUUUGCUGUGUUUUACUAUUUUCUUUUCUCAUUUUGCUGUUCAGAGAUAGAUCUAACAGUGAAAAGGACAGAUUUUUUAAAAAGAAGGUUAUCUGAGAAGGAAAGGUUCACAAAUCAGAUCUGGAAUCUAGCCAGAAGAGGACUUCAAAGAAUUAAUUAAUAUAUGGUAAGAGCAAGCAGCAGAACAUGAUUUCACUUAGAGUACACAGAACCAGCACAUUUAUGACAGAAUUGCUUUGCAGUGACCUCAGGGAAUGCAAUAUAGAAAAUAAUCUUCUGUGUGGAACAAGAAAUAGUGGAAAAGACUGCGCACUAUUGAGAGUUAACUGGAAAAUCCUGACGGGUGAUUUUGUUAAGUGUGUAGAAAAGCUAAUGAAGUCAAAUAGCUGUGAAGUCUCAACGCUGCUUCAUGGCAGAGACAUGAUUGAUUUUGCUUCAUAGAGAAUUGCAUAUGUCAAAGAUCAAAAAUUCAUGUACACUCUAGAAAAUCAUCAGCCUUUUCAACAGACUUAAUGUGCAAAAUUGCUAUGUUGGUAUGGAUGCAAAUUUAGCAGGUUUGAAAAGCUUAUGGCAUGAAAGUGUAGCUUACUACCUGAUAAUUAAACAUGCAGAUGAUGUUUCUGAUAGCUGAAUUAUAAGGUGAUAUGUAGGCACAAGUUCUUCAAACCCUGCAUAACAUGGACAUUUCAACGUACCUGGCAUUUGGCAAAACUCUUCCAGAUUACACAAAAAUGCUAAUGGAAUCAGUUGUUUAGCUCUUUGCUAAAGACAAAUUUAUCCUUGUUUUCUGCUCAGUUUGGUAAACAACUUUUACAAAUCAGUGCGAGUUGUAGAGGGAGGGGGCAAGAAAGGAGUAAAAAUGAUCUCUUUCCAGUGUGAAUAUUUACUGUGGCAUGACAAGACAAUUGAUUCUCACCAUGAUUAAUUGCAAGAAAUCCUAACACAGCAAAACCGCCAAUGACAAAUUGGCGCACGGAGGGGAACAGAAUGAAAGGAAUAGGUUUUCAAUAUAAGCAUAAUCUAAAGCAUGGCCCCAAGUCACCAGAUGGCUCAAGGGAUUAGCAAUGCUAUAUAGUCUUUUCACCUCCCUCUUCUGUUCCCUCCCCUUCAAGCAACAGGUUCAAAUGUUCAAGUGAGUAACACAAGCAUCCAGACAGACACAGCUUAAAGGAUAUUUAUCUACAACAGGAAGGAUGGUAAAAGUCUUCACUAUCGAGUAGUGUUAUCUCUGUGAGGGGCUGUUUGAAUAUUUCUCUUUUGAUGAAAAGGAAAACAUUCAUUUCGGUUAAAUUGAAAUCUUCUCUUUAAGAGGUUUCAGUUUAUUUUCAGCCCCUUUCAGAAGACAUCAUUAUGUUUUUGUUCGUUUUGUACAUUUUGAAAAGAAACAUCAUUCUGAAAUGAAAGCAGUGUAGUUAUAUAGUAUUACAAAUCUCACAUUUGUUUACGUCAAUUAGGAGGAAAUAGUGAACAUGCAGAGGUGAUCUGAUUCUUAAAUUUCACUACGCGGAGUUUUCUAUCAGAGAUGCUUUGCUGAAUUUGCUUCUGGUCAUAUUGUUUUCUUAGGGGAACACAUGCACAUAACAUAAAAGUAUGAUCGUGGCUGUUAGCAAGUGAAAAUUCUUUAGGAAAUCUUAGUAGACUACGUACUACUUAAGACAACUUUUUAAGUCACUAUGUGUGGAAAUGUGGGGUAAGAGGUGUUGAGGGGUUAUCUUUGCCCCUAUAGUUGUAGUGCUUGUUUAGUAGAUGAAUAAAACACUUCAAUCCUUGUCAUGAUGGCUAUAGACUGUGUUUCAGCAGCAUGAAAAUCAACAAACAAAAACACUGAUUGUUUUCUAUGUAGAAAUUAACAGUGCUAAUUAUAGUAAAAAAAAAAGUACUAAAGGGGGGCGAGGGGAAAGGUAAGGCAAAAAGCCACCGAAGCCUGUGCCUAAAUGUAAGAAUACUGUGCCAUUUCUUUUUCUGUGGUGCUUUUUAAUUCAGAAACCAUAUGUCUAGCUUGAAUUUUCGAGUUGUCACGCUCUGCUAAUUUUUAGCUAUAGACUUUAAUUACUCUUUUUUUCUUCAACAGAAGUAACAUUUUACCCUCUAUGCAAGAUAAAUGUAGAAGGAAAAAAAGCUAGUUGAGUUUAAUUACCUGAUUUUAUGCUACAGCUUUGAUAAAACUCUACUUUUCUCCUGUUGCUCAUUUCCUUGCCUUCUGACAUCUAUUUUUGCAGGCAGCCACAGUGCAGUGCAUGAUUUAUACCUCAAAUGCUAAAAUAUUUCUUCUCUUAUGUGUUCUGGCAAGCUCUUAAUGUUAUAGCAAAGUUUCUUUUGUAAAUCUUGACCUUUCAAGGUAAUACACUGGCCUCUCUGAUAUCACUGGCAAACCUUUUUUGGACUUGAGCAGAGGGGAGGUUACCCUCAAGGAUCUCAUUGUGGAUGAAGCUUGUGUCACAUUUGCCUGCAGUCAGUUUGACCACAGUUGAUGACAAAAUAUUUCAGUUUGGAAAACAAAGGGGAAGUAACUGACAGCACUCAUUGUACUUUGACUGUCUUGCAGCCUACAGAUACUAUGGAACUGGCCUUGCGAUGGGACAAUUCUAGACAAUCAUUUUCAAUCAAGCAUAUUGUGUACUGUAUGAAAAAGGUGGAAUGAUAUAGGCCCUGCAUCUCCUCUGCACACAAAUUCCUGCGAAUCAUAGACUUGACUGAUGUACUUUGUGGAGAUUCACCUUCAAGAAUCCAAG